Molecule: ribosomal RNA, 473 nt
Filed under: uncultured Microbacteriaceae bacterium
Lineage: Bacteria; Bacillati; Actinomycetota; Actinomycetes; Micrococcales; Microbacteriaceae
Description: bacterial SSU rRNA
Rfam family: Bacterial small subunit ribosomal RNA
Source: RNAcentral
AUUAGUGGCGAACGGGUGAGUAACACGUGAGUAACCUGCCCUUGACUCUGGGAUAACUGCUAGAAAUGGUAGCUAAUACCGGAUACGACCCUCGGAGGCAUCUCCAGGGGGUGGAAAGAAUUUCGGUCAAGGAUGGACUCGCGGCCUAUCAGCUAGUUGGUGAGGUAAUGGCUCACCAAGGCGACGACGGGUAGCCGGCCUGAGAGGGUGACCGGCCACACUGGGACUGAGACACGGCCCAGACUCCUACGGGAGGCAGCAGUGGGGAAUAUUGCACAAUGGGCGAAAGCCUGAUGCAGCAACGCCGCGUGAGGGACGAAGGCCUUCGGGUUGUAAACCUCUUUUAGUAGGGAAGAAGCGAAAGUGACGGUACCUGCAGAAAAAGCACCGGCUAACUACGUGCCAGCAGCCGCGGUAAUACGUAGGGUGCAAGCGUUGUCCGGAAUUAUUGGGCGUAAAGAGCUCGUAGGCGG